GACGAACGCUGGCGGCGUGCUUAACACAUGCAAGUCGAACGGAAAGGCCCUGCUUUUGUGGGGUGCUCGAGUGGCGAACGGGUGAGUAACACGUGAGUAACCUGCCCUUGACUUUGGGAUAACUUCAGGAAACUGGGGCUAAUACCGGAUAGGAGCUCCUGCUGCAUGGUGGGGGUUGGAAAGUUUCGGCGGUUGGGGAUGGACUCGCGGCUUAUCAGCUUGUUGGUGGGGUAGUGGCUUACCAAGGCUUUGACGGGUAGCCGGCCUGAGAGGGUGACCGGCCACAUUGGGAAUGAGAUACGGCCCAGACUCCUACGGGAGGCAGCAGUGGGGAAUAUGGCACAAUGGGCGGAAGCCUGAUGCAGCAACGCCGCGUGCGGGAUGACGGCCUUCGGGUGGUAAACCGCUUUCGCCUGUGACGAAGCGUGAGUGACGGUAAUGGGUAAAGAAGCACCGGCUAACUACGU
This 467-nucleotide ribosomal RNA is filed under the name uncultured bacterium. RNAcentral's name for it is "partial 16S ribosomal RNA". It matches the Rfam family "Bacterial small subunit ribosomal RNA", at positions 28 to 506 of the family's 1533-position model. The record is from RNAcentral.